This 1888-nucleotide ribosomal RNA is filed under the name Nitrospira sp. RNAcentral describes it as "partial 23S ribosomal RNA". It matches the Rfam family "Bacterial large subunit ribosomal RNA", at positions 1 to 1922 of the family's 2925-position model. The record is from RNAcentral. Lineage: Bacteria; Pseudomonadati; Nitrospirota; Nitrospiria; Nitrospirales; Nitrospiraceae.
GAUCAAGUGUCUUAAGGGCAAUUGGUGGAUGCCUUGGCAUGCACAGGCGAUGAAGGACGUGAUACGCUGCGAUAAGCGUCGGGGAGGUGCGAAUACCCUUUGAUCCGAUGAUUUCCGAAUGGGGAAACCCACCUAAGGUACUUGGAAAAUCAGGCGCGCCAACGGCGCGCGGCAAUCGGCAAUCGGCAGUAGGCAAUCGGGUUUAAAACCGACUGCCGACUGCCUAAGCCCGACUGCCUUGCGUCGCAGACGCGCCCGGUUUCCAAGUAUCGCAAUUAGGUAUCUUCACCUGAAUACAUAGGGUGAAAGAAGCGAACGCGGGGAACUGAAACAUCUAAGUACCCGUAGGAAAGGACAUCAACAGAGACUCCGGAAGUAGUGGCGAGCGAACCCGGACCAGGCCAGCGGCUUUUGCGAGACAAGCGGAACGAUCUGGAAAGUUCGGCCGUAGCGGGUGACAGCCCCGUACGCGUAAUGCGAGCAGAAGUCCUUGAGUAAGGCGGGACACGUGAAAUCCUGUCUGAACAUGGGGAGACCACUCUCCAAGCCUAAGUACUCGUGCAUGACCGAUAGCGAACUAGUACCGUGAGGGAAAGGUGAAAAGCACCCCGACAAGGGGAGUGAAAGAGUACCUGAAACCGGUUGCCUACAAACAGAUGGAGCCUGCAAGGGUGACAUCGUACCUUUUGUAUAAUGGGUCAGCGACUUAGUGUGACGAGCAAGCUUAAACCGGUAGGUGUAGGCGCAGCGAAAGCGAGUCUGAACAGGGCGUUCAGUUCGUCGCAUUAGACCCGAAACCGAGUGAUCUAGCCAUGAGCAGGUUGAAGGUAAGGUAACACUUACUGGAGGACCGAACCCAUAACUGUUGCAAUAGUUCGGGAUGACUUGUGGCUAGGGGUGAAAGGCCAAUCAAACUCGGAAAUAGCUGGUUCUCCGCGAAAUCUAUUUAGGUAGAGCGUCGACCGAAUACCCUGGGGGGUAAAGCACUGCAUGGGCUAGGGGUCCUUACCGGAUUACCAAACCUAAGCAAACUCUGAAUACCCAGGAGUACUAGUCGGCAGACACACGGCGGGUGCUAACGUCCGUCGUGAAAAGGGAAACAACCCUGACCGACAGCUAAGGUCCCCAAGUUAUGGCUAAGUGGGAAAGGAUGUGAGGAUCCCAAAACAACCAGGAUGUUGGCUUAGAAGCAGCCAUCAUUUAAAGAAAGCGUAACAGCUCACUGGUCUAAAUAAGGGUCUUUGCGCCGAAAAUGUAACGGGGCUCAAGCCAUACACCGAAGCUUUGGGUGCAUCGCAAGAUGCGCGGUAGCGGAGCGUUCUGUAAGCCUGCGAAGGAAGACCCGUGAGGGCUUCUGGAGGUAUCAGAAGUGCGAAUGCUGACAUGAGUAACGUAAGGGGUGUGAGAGACACCCCCGCCGAAAGUCCAAGGGUUCCUGCUUAAAGUUAAUCUGAGCAGGGUUAGCCGGUCCCUAAGGCGAGGCCGAAAGGCGUAGUCGAUGGGAAUCACGUUAAUAUUCGUGAGCCUGUGGGUAGUGACGGAUCGCAUAAGUUGUCCAAUCUUAUCGGAUUGAACGGGCAGCGAAGCGGUUCCAGGAAAUAGCUCCCACUUAUAGUCCGUACCCGAAACCGACACUGGUGGACUGGUAGAGUAUACCAAGGCGCUUGAGAGAACUAUGCUGAAGGAACUCGGCAAAUUGCACGCGUAACUUCGGAAGAAGCGUGACCCCACGCCACGCAAGUGAUGUGGGGUGGCACAGACCAGGGGGUAGCGACUGUUUAUCAAAAACACAGGGCUCUGCGAAGUCGCAAGACGACGUAUAGGGUCUGACGCCUGCCCGGUGCUGGAAGGUUAAGAGGAGAGGUGCAAGCUUUGAAUCGAAGCCCCA